UACGUAGGGUGCAAGCGUUAAUCGGAAUUACUGGGCGUAAAGCGUGCGCAGGCGGUUGUGCAAGACAGAUGUGAAAUCCCCGGGCUCAACCUGGGAAUUGCAUUUGUGACUGUACGGCUAGAGUGUGUCAGAGGGGGGGUAGAAUUCCACGUGUAGCAGUGAAAUGCGUAGAGAUGUGGAGGAAUACCGAUGGCGAAGGCAGCCCCCCUGGGAUAACACUGACGCUCAUGCACGAAAGCGUGGGGAGCAAACAGG
Molecule: ribosomal RNA, 255 nt
Filed under: uncultured bacterium
Lineage: Bacteria
Description: partial 16S ribosomal RNA
Rfam family: Bacterial small subunit ribosomal RNA
Source: RNAcentral